CCCAUGUGAACAAGCGAUCAUCAGCUGGUCUUUGAGCCCUUUUCUCUGGCCUAUGCAGCACCUGAUCACUUGAACCACUAGCAGGAGUCUCUCUUGAUACCCUCACUUCUAUAGUGCCAGGAUUCACAAUGACUGGAGCCUCGGGCACUUCUUCGAUAAUUCUAUCACCUACUGCCAGAUGUUCAUUUGGAUGUGCAGCUAUGGCUCCAUCUUCUUGC
Molecule: unclassified non-coding RNA, 218 nt
Filed under: Hevea brasiliensis (rubber tree)
Lineage: Eukaryota; Viridiplantae; Streptophyta; Magnoliopsida; Malpighiales; Euphorbiaceae
Source: RNAcentral